RNAcentral lists this long non-coding RNA (992 nucleotides) under Hordeum vulgare. RNAcentral's name for it is "long non-coding RNA (HVUL_LNC006029)". The record is from RNAcentral. Lineage: Eukaryota; Viridiplantae; Streptophyta; Magnoliopsida; Poales; Poaceae.
UUACAAUUUCGCUAUAUAUAUGGUCCCUUUCGUGUGAUAAACUGGUCGGCAACUCGACUACUUCACUGCCAGAUGACUUUGAUUUCAUUCGGACCUUGGUCGUUUGGAAGGGGAUAGCAUUUGAUUCUUCCUCCAAGCAGGAGUCGACCUUGGUGCAUCAGCGCUACGCCACCCUACCGCUACGGAUGUUUUGGAAUGUUUUGUGCAUAGUGCAGGUAACGUGAAGGGUCUUUGGUUCUCCCCUGCAGAUGAUGUUUCUUGGACGGCAUUCUUCUCACUGGUUCAUGUAUACAUACCACCUUGUCAUAAUUAAAGACCUCCAAAUCUACAAUGUGGCAACAGGUGAAUCAUGUCGAUGAAGUAGAAAAACAAAACAGGAUUCUACAAGGGAAAACACCACGGUGUCUAUUGGCAAUCUCAGGAAAAAAGGCGUUUUAUUGGUAGUCUUCUGCAAGUUAUCUCCAGCCGGAGCAUCAACCCAUUACCUAACUUCUUCCUUUUAUUUUCUGAUAUUCCUUUACUCUUCAGGAGGCUGCUGAUCCUUCAUGUUGAUUUCUAGUGUUAUCUUCGAUCUUGUGGAAGGAUACAUCGUCGAUUGGUUCAUCGUCCACGCCUACGUUAUGAUUCGUGCUAUGGUCCCCUCCAUGUGAUAAACUUGUCGACAACUCGGACUACUUGAUUGACAAGUGACUUUGAUUUCAUUCUAACCUUGCUACCUUUGCAACGAGAUAGCAUAUGUGUUUCUUUCUCCUUUGCUUCCAUUUUGCUCGAGGAACACUAAAGAUGCUGCACUAUUAAGCAUGCACUUUGGGACAGUUACAUUAAUAACAUUGAUUAGCAUGCUCAAAGAACAAUUGCAAUGGAUAAAUAUGUUGAAAUAGCAGGCAUCACAUGAUAUAGUUUUAGUAUAUUACCAUAAUAUAGGGGAGUUUUCAUUGAUAAGUCACCUAAAACAAAGGGGUGCAGGCUGAAUUCUUAUUUGUCCAUAAACA